AAAAAACUAUAAAAUGAAAAGUGGACAAGUAAAAAGGGAUGGAGGGAGCACUAAUUAGAUAGUAUUUAAUUAAAUAGUACUUUAUUUUAAGAGUAAAAUGAUAAUUCAAUUUUGAGGUUAGAAACUAUAUAUUUUAGGUAAUAUAUGACAUAUGAUAUGAUAUAUAUAUUCAAUUUCAAAUUUUUAUAAGUAGACACUUAAAUUUAUAUGAAAUUAAACAAAUAAAGACAUUUGUUAAAGUGCCUCAAUAGUUUAGAUGUUGGUGUUAAUGUGUUUGUUGUUUGGUCUAUGUGAAAGAAAGUUCGAAAAAAAGACAAAGCAACUUCCAACAUUUUUAGCUGUUAAAGUGCCUCAAUAAUUUAGAUGUUGGAGCAUGUCUAAAGGAAAGGUACAUUAUAUAUUAUUAUUAAUAAUAAAUUGAUUAUUAUCCUUUUUCCCUCAAUAAUUUAGUAUUAAUCAAGAUAGUGCAGGUCCAUUUUUGAAAAAAUGCAAUUGUCCUUUUUCCCUCAAUAAUUUAGCUGUUAAUAAUAGUAGUCCUGCAAUUAUCAGCUUUCAAUUCACUCUCAACCUAUUUUCACUCUACUUUGUAACUAAGAAAUCAGAUAUGGAAUUCUUAUCUGUUUUUGUGGACAAGGUAACAGAUUGCUUGAUAAAGCCAGUUACGCGAGGGAUCGGGUAUUUUGUUUACUACAAGAGAAACAUCACAUGUAUGGAAAAUGAAUCUGAGAAGCUGGAGAAUAUCAGAAUUGGGGUGGAUCAAAGAGCCGAGGCUAACCGGAGAAACUUACAAGUCAUUUCACCCAAUGUUGAGGCUUGGUUUACUAGUGUUGCUACCAUUACUGCUGAGGUGGCAGAUGUAACGCGACGAGGUAGAAAUGAGGUUGAUAGAUAUGAUUGGUGUCCAAACUUGAAGUCACGUUACUCCCUGAGCAGGAGAGCUAAGAGAAUUGCAUUGGAGUUGAUUGAACUUCGAAAUGAAGGCAACAGUUAUGCUGUUUUCUGCUAUCCUGCUGUUGAAAACGAACCUCUACCUAUCAACAGCGCUGAGGAGUUUGAUUCUAGAAAAUUGCAAGAGGAUGAGGUCAUGGCAGCUUUGAACAAUGACGGGGUCACAAUUAUUGGGAUAUGCGGUCUGGGUGGUGUUGGUAAGACGACACUGGCUGAAAAAAUCAGACGAAAGGCGAAAAAAGAAAAGUUGUUCAAUGAUGUUGUUAUGGUAAUUGUCAGUCAACAACAGGACCCUAAAAGAAUUCAGGAGGAGAUCGCAAGAGGGGUCGGACUUACAUUACAAGGGGAUGAUUUGUGGAGUCGUGGAGAUCAGCUGCGUACUAGGUUAAUGGCUCACAACAGCCAUACUCUUGUAAUCUUGGAUGAUGUUUGGGAGGCUCUUUAUGAUCUAGAGAAACUCGGGAUUUCCACCGGUAGCAACCACAACUACCGGUGCAAAGUUAUAUUGACGACACGUCUCCGACAUGUUUGUGAUAUAAUGAAGGCUCAGAAGAUCAUGGAAAUUGGAACUUUACCUGAAGAGGAAGCAUGGAUCCUUUUCAAGGAGAAAGUCGGUAAUUCAGUCGACGAUCCUUCUCUGCUUGAUAUAGCAAAAGAUGUUUCCAAAGAAUGCAAGGGAUUGCCGCUUGCAAUUAUUACAGUUGCAAGAGCACUAAAGCGUAAAACCAAGCCUUCGUGGGAGGAUGCCCUUAAGCAAUUAUGUUCUGCAGAUACAAGAAAUAUCCCUGGAGUGCACGCAAGGGUGUAUGGGCCUCUGAGGCUAAGCUAUGAUUACAUUGAAAGUGAUGAAGCCAGGUACCUAUUUUUGCUUUGUUCUUUAUUUGAGGAAGAUAGUGACAUUUGGAUUGAAGAAUUACUUAGAUACGGAAAGGGACUUGGCAUUUUUACAGAAAUGAAAAAUUUAGAACAUGCAAGAAAUAGGGUGUGUCUUUUGAUAGAAAUAUUGAAAGAAAGUUUCUUGUUAUCCCAAGGUUCAGACAAAAAUUAUGUCAAAAUGCAUGAUGUGUUACGUGACGUGGCUAUAUAUAUUUCAUCCGAGGAAGAGCACAAAUUUAUGGUAAGACAUGAUGUGAACUCAAAAGUGUUCCCCCAAAAAGACUCUUACGAGCAAUAUAGUCACAUGUCCAUAGUUGCAAAUGAAUUUGAGGAGCUUCCUAGACCAAUAUUUUGCCCAAAACUGAAGCUUCUAAUGUUGAAACUCUGUUCUAGAAAUUCAUUCAAAUUACAGGAUAAUUUUUUUAAUGACAUGGGUGAACUCAAAGUCUUAAGCCUGAUGGGUGGAUAUAAUGAGGGCUCCAUUCGUCGUUUUCCAGCAUCCAUUCAGAGGUUACCGAGUUUGAGGACGCUGCAUCUGAUUAAUUUAAAGUUGGAUGACAUAUCUAUUAUUGGGGAACUUGUCAAUUUGGAAAUCCUAAGCAUAAGAGAUACUCGGUUAGAUGAGCUGCCAGAGGAGAUAGGAAAUUUGACCAAGUUAAUUGUAUUAGAGUUUUGGAAUGAGAAUGAAGUAGAUAAAAGGAUUUCAACAGGUGUCUUAUCAAGACUAGUUCGAUUGGAGGAACUACAUUUGACGGGAGUGAAAGAUUGUAGUUGCUCCAUCUUGAUGGAACUGGAAUCCUUAUCGGAAUUGACUGCACUGUCGUUAUAUGAAUGUUCCGAAGAUGUGACUUACAUUAAGUUGGUCCUUUCCUCCAAGUUGACACGGUACAAUAUUAGAACGGGCUUUGGUUACGAAGAGAGAACAUAUGAUUACGAUAAGAGCAUUGCUUUAGAGGUCACGGAGACCACCCCAUUGGCUGAUUGGAUCUGCCACCUGUUGAAGAAGAGUGAAUUUGUACGUUCACGUGGAGAGGGCUCUAAUAAUGUGUUGAAUGAGUUGCAGCUGAAUGAAUUUCAGAACGUGAAAUGUCUCCACCUCUCUGCUUGUAAUUUAGUGACACAUAUAUUCAACAUCUCUCGAACGACACAUGAAGUAAUCAAGUUCCCCAAUUUAUAUGUGUUGAAACUGCAAGAUCUGGAAUGCCUCACUCACUUUUGCAGUGACAAUGUUGACGGCAUUGAGUUCCCUCAGUUACGGAAAUUGACCUUCAGGGAUUUACCUAAGUUCCAAAAUUUGUGGCCUACUGCCAACAACUUCAUCACUCACCCAAAUCCUCUUUUUCAUGAAAAGGUUUCUUGUCCCAACUUGGAAAAGCUAUAUAUCGAUGUGGCCAACAACAUAAAUGUUUUAUGCUCUGACCAACUUCCAACUGCCUACUUCAGCAAACUUAAAAGACUGCGUGUAUGGAAUUGUGGAAAUUUGAGAAACUUGAUGUCUCCAUCAGUGGCUCGAGGUCUUCUAAACCUCCGAAGCUUACGGAUAGAAGGAUGUUCAUCAAUGGAAGAAGUGAUCACAAAAGAGGAACAACAAGGAGAAGAAAUAAUGACCUUAUUUCCCCUGUUGGAAAUACUGCGUCUUGACAAUCUGCCUAAGCUGGGGCAUUUCUUUCUGACUGAGCAUCCUCUUAAAUUUCCAUUUCUCAAAGAAGUGACAAUUUGUGAGUGCCCUGAAAUGAAGACGUUUGUCCAAAAGGGAAUAUCUGUGUGUCUCGAAAGUACUGUGAACAAUGACGAUGAGGUGAAAGCAAUGUUCAAUUCUAAGGUUUCUUUUCCCAACUUGGAAGAGCUAAUCAUCUGGAAACUUGAAAGCAUAACUGCUCUAUGCUCUGACCAACUUUCAACUGCCUACUUUAGCAAACUUAAAAGAUUGGAUGUACGGGGUUGUGGAAACUUGAGGAACUUGAUGUCUCCAUCAGUGGCUAGAGGUCUUAUAGACCUCCGAAGUUUAAGGAUAGAAGGAUGUUCAUCAAUGGAAGAAGUGAUCACAAAAGAGGAACACCGAGGAGAAGAAAUAAUGACCUUAUUUCCCCGGUUGGAAGAACUGCGUCUUGACAAUCUGCCUAAGCUGAGACAUUUCUUUCUGACAAAGAGUGUUACUGAAUUUCCAUUUCUCAGAGAAGUGACAAUUAGUGAGUGCCCUGAAAUGAAGACGUUUGUCCAACAGGGAAUAUCUGUGAGUCUCAAAAGUACUGUGAACAAUGAUGAUGAGGUGAAAGCAAUGUUCAAUUCUAAGGUUUCUUUUCCCAACUUGGAAGAGCUAAGCAUCUGGAAGCUUGAAAGCAUAAAUGUUUUAUGCUCUGACCAACUUCCAACUGCCUACUUCAGCAAACUUAAAAGAUUGCGUGUAUGGAAUUGUGGAAACUUGAGAAACUUGAUGUCUCCAUCAGUGGCUCGAGGUCUUCUAAACCUCCGAAGUUUACGGAUAGAAGGAUGUUCAUCAAUGGAAGAAGUGAUCACAAAAGAGGAACAACAAGGAGAAGAAAUAAUGACCUUAUUUCCCCUGUUGGAAAUACUGUAUCUUGACUAUCUGCCUAAGCUGAGGCAUUUCUUUCUGACAAUGCCUGUUACUGAAUUUCCAUUUCUCAGAAAAGUGUGGAUAAAUGACUGCCCGGAAAUGAUGAAUGAUGAUUAUUAAGUGAAUGAUGAUUAUGAAGUGAAUAUUUCAGGGAAUAUCUGUGAGUACACCGAGUCUCAUAUUGGUGAAUGAUGAUUAUGAAGUGAAAGUGGACGAUCUAAAUAAAUGGACACAACAGUGGUUCAAUUCUAAGGAACAAAAAGCUACCCAAGGCACUACCAAUGGCGACGAAUCUGAAGCUAUUGUUGGUAACAAAUCUGUAGCUAUCGAUGACAAACGAAAGGGUGAAACAUGAUUUUGGGGUGAUGGUUGUUAGCAUGAUUUUUGUUGUUCAGGACCCCUCAAUUUAUGCCUGUUUUUUGGCAGCCUCAUGAGAAAAGGAUGUUUUCAAUUUCCCCACUUUUUUUGCUUUGUACCCCACCCACCCCACCUUAAAAUUUAAUUUCAAUGACCAAAGAAUUAUGAACUUUAUUGUGGUCACACUAUUUGAUCUCACUACUAAAACAAAUGAGAAGUGACAACACCUUAUUGUUAACA
Molecule: RNA transcript, 4996 nt
Organism: Solanum pennellii
Lineage: Eukaryota; Viridiplantae; Streptophyta; Magnoliopsida; Solanales; Solanaceae
Gene name: probable disease resistance protein At1g61180
Exons: 5
Source: RefSeq, a predicted model, not a curated record